GUGCUCGCUUCAGUGCACAAACACCAAAAUUGGAAUGAUACAGAGUAUUAGCAUGGCCUGUGAGCAAGGAUGGCACAAAAAUUCAGGAAGCAUUCCAUAUUUUA
Molecule: small nuclear RNA, 104 nt
Organism: Saimiri boliviensis boliviensis (Bolivian squirrel monkey)
Lineage: Eukaryota; Metazoa; Chordata; Mammalia; Primates; Cebidae
Source: Ensembl